Xenopus tropicalis (tropical clawed frog) is the source of this 1394-nucleotide RNA transcript. RefSeq lists it as uncharacterized. NCBI's taxonomy places the organism in Eukaryota, Metazoa, Chordata, Amphibia, Anura, Pipidae. The transcript has 5 exons. The record is from RefSeq and is a predicted model, not a curated record.
AUUUUCUCACUUUAUUACAGUUUGAGGUACGAGGAAGUAGCUGGAGGGGGAUGUUAUUUGUUUGUAAAAUGGUAUACACAGGAAGAUUUAAAGCGCACGAUCGUCGUACUUUAUCGGAGUAAAAAUGUGGAGGAAUAUUGGUAGUAAUUAAAGCCUAAUAUUAGAAAGCAGAGAUAGCGCUUUUGAAUUUUGGUCCCUUGUAUGUGAGGAGGCAGGUGUGGGCGGGAUAAUGGAGUAGGUUAUCCAUCCUUCAGUGUGUAAUGGAAGGUCCUAUUAAAAACAUUUUAUUCAUCAACGUCUAUUUUCAUAGCUUUUAAUUACUUACCUUCCACUUAUGUCUCCUAGUUUUCAUAUGGGGGUCACUGACCCAGCCUUCAAAAUCUUGCUUAGUGGAACAAUUUGUAGAUUGUAAGCUCUUUUGGGCAGGGCUCUCCUAACCUCUUGUAUCGGUUAUUGAUUGCUUUAUAUGUUACUCUGUAUGUCCAAUGUAUGAAACCCAAAAGAACUUCCAAUCUACAAACACUCUAGCAACCAUAUAACUGCCAGAGAGGUGCUGAACAAAAAGCUGCGUCAUUUAAAACAACCAAACAAUAAUAAAGAAGGCUAAUUACAAAUCCGAAAGCACAUUCUUCCCAUUACCUAUUAAAAUGUAGCACUUCAUUUUAGAACUGUGUAUAUAUUUAUUUCAUGUUUGUUCACCUUUGUAUUUUAUUAGAAACACUGCACUAAUGAAACUAUGCUCUCUUUCAUCUUUUGCCAUAGGCUGGACAAAUUGAGGCAAAUUGGUUUGUAUAUAUAAAUAACCCUCUUUGGUACUUAGCAGGGAUAGAUACAUUUUCUCUGUCUGCUGCGAGUAGGGUUCUUGGCGUGCAGCUGUAAUUAAAGAGACUUAUGAAUUGGGAAGAAUAGCUGCUGCUAGCCUGGUCUUCAUAGUAUUAAUAAUACUACUUAGCAUCAUCAUUGUAUGGUUGAAAUGGAAGAUAAAAAUGAAGAUCAGUGAUGAAAGGUUACAAACCUCUUCAAAAGAUGCCCUGACAAUGACAGAGACUGCACAUGAGGAACAUGAACUACAAGAAGUCAUUGUUAUAGGCCCUAAAAAAACAGAAGAGAAAAAAGAUGAAGAGGCUACUAACGCAAAACUAAAAAAGACAGAGAAAGAAGAAGAAGCAGACAUGAUGAAAAUAAAAGAUAAAGAAGAAACUGACACAAGGAAAAAUACCCUUGCUAAAGAUAAAGAGGAUGAUCAAAGAGGAGAACCAGCAGACACAGAUGUAGAAUAUGGUCUGGAAGAAAAUAAGAAAAAGGAAACAGAAAUAGUGGGUAAUAAGAAACCUAAGAAAAAGAGACUAAAGAAGGCUUUUUUUUUCUGUGCUCCACUAAUAAAGAAAAUACAA